AAGUAGCAAGGUUAAGCACUUAAGGUGCGGAGCCGUAGCGAAAGCGAGUUUUAACUGAGCGUUCAGUUAUUUGACGUAGACCCGAAACCGGGCGACCUACCCAUGAGCAGGAUGAAGCGAAAGUAAAAUUUCGUGGAGGUCCGAACCCACGAGCGUUGAAAAGCUCGGGGAUGACUUGUGGGUAGCGGUGAAAUUCCAAUCGAGCCCGGAGAUAGCUGGUUCUCCCCGAAAUAGCUUUAGGGCUAGCCUCAAGGUGAGAGAUACGGAGGUAGAGCACUGAAUGUCCUAGGGGGUAUUGCACCUACCGAAGACUAUCAAACUCCGAAUGCCGUCAUCUUAUACUUGGGAGUCAGACUGUGGGUGAUAAGAUUCAUAGUCGAAAGGGCAACAGCCCAGAUCGUCAGCUAAGGUCCCUAAAUGUAAGUUAAGUGGUAAAGGAUGUGGGAUUGCACAGACAACCAGGAUGUUGGCUU
Molecule: ribosomal RNA, 473 nt
Filed under: Clostridioides difficile
Lineage: Bacteria; Bacillati; Bacillota; Clostridia; Peptostreptococcales; Peptostreptococcaceae
Description: partial 23S ribosomal RNA
Rfam family: Bacterial large subunit ribosomal RNA
Source: RNAcentral